Molecule: ribosomal RNA, 88 nt
Filed under: Yersinia pestis
Lineage: Bacteria; Pseudomonadati; Pseudomonadota; Gammaproteobacteria; Enterobacterales; Yersiniaceae
Source: RNAcentral
CCUGGCGGCCAUAGCGCGGUGGUCCCACCUGAUCCCAUGCCGAACUCAGAAGUGAAACGCCGUAGCGCCGAUGGUAGUGUGGGGUCUC